ACGGGGGCCCGCACAAGCGGUGGAGCAUGUGGUUUAAUUCGAUGCAACGCGAAGAACCUUACAUGGCCUUGACAUACUAAGAACUUUCCAGAGAUGGAUUGGUGCCUUCGGGAACUUAGAUACAGGUGCUGCAUGGCUGUCGUCAGCUCGUGUCGUGAGAUGUUGGGUUAAGUCCCGCAACGAGCGCAACCCUUUUCCUUAUUUGCCAGCGGGUCAUGCCGGGAACUUUAAGGAUACUGCCAGUGACAAACUGGAGGAAGGCGGGGACGACGUCAAGUCAUCAUGGCCCUUACGGCCAGGGCUACACACGUGCUACAAUGGUCGGUACAAAGGGUUGCUACCUCGCGAGAGGAUGCUAAUCUCAAAAAGCCGAUCGUAGUCCGGAUCGCAGUCUGCAACUCGACUGCGUGAAGUCGGAAUCGCUUAGUAAUCGCGGAUCAGAAUGCCGCGGUGAUACGUUCCCGGGCNUUGUACACACCGCCC
RNAcentral lists this ribosomal RNA (483 nucleotides) under uncultured bacterium. RNAcentral's name for it is "bacterial SSU rRNA". It matches the Rfam family "Bacterial small subunit ribosomal RNA", at positions 913 to 1395 of the family's 1533-position model. The record is from RNAcentral.